AUAAAGUUUGAUUUUGACUUUUAUUUUACUAUUUUUUUAUUUUACAUGUAAGUUUUUGCGCGAGUUUACAAGAUUUUAAUAAUUAUGUUAGGAUUUAUUCGCAGUAUUUAGUUUUAAAUUUGAAAGUUAUUUCGAUUUGGUAAAAAUUUGAGUUCAGAAUAAUUUUGUGCCAGCAUUCGCGGUUAUACAAGUUGUGCAAGUAAUAAUUCUUGGUUAGUAGUAAGUUUUAUUUUAAUUAAAUUAAUUAAUUAGUUUAUAGGUGAAAUUUUAAAUUUAAUAUAUAUUUUUUUUAUUUAAAUGAAUCUACGAAAUUUUUUAUUUAAAGACUAGGAUUAGAUACCCUAUUAUAAUAAAUGUGGAUAAAAACCUGGGUAGUAAUAGUUAUGAUCUUGAAACCUAAAAAAUUUGGCGGUGCUUUAAUCUAUUUAGAGGAACCUGUUCCGUGAUCGAUAGCCCACGAUAAAUUUUACUUGAUUUUGUUUAGCUUAUAUACCGUUGUUAUCAGAAUAUUUUAUAAGAAAAUAAUUUUCUUUCAUUUUUAUAAAAAUUUAUUUCAGAUCAAGGUGUAGCUUAUAAUUAAGAGGUAAUGGGUUACAAUAAAUUAAUUUAAAUGGAAAUAAACUUGUAAAAUUAUAUUAAAGGUGGAUUUAAUAGUAAAUUGAAAUAUAUAUUUUAGUUGAUACGAGCUCUAAAGCAUGUACAUAUCGCCCGUCGCUCUUUUUAAUUAAAGAUAAGUCGUAACAUAGUAGAUGUACCGGAAGGUGUAUCUAGAAUGCA
Molecule: non-coding RNA, 777 nt
Filed under: Nepsalus petrophilus
Lineage: Eukaryota; Metazoa; Arthropoda; Insecta; Neuroptera; Myrmeleontidae
Source: RNAcentral